This 147-nucleotide non-coding RNA is filed under the name Gorilla gorilla gorilla (western lowland gorilla). Lineage: Eukaryota; Metazoa; Chordata; Mammalia; Primates; Hominidae. The record is from Rfam by way of RNAcentral.
GCUGGGCGUGGUGGCGGGCGCCUGUAAUCCCAGCUACUGGGAGGCUGAGGCAGGAGAAUGGCGUGAACCCAGGAGGCGGAGCUUGCAGUGAGCCGAGAUCGCGCCACUGCACUCCAGCCUGGGCGACAGAGCGAGACUCCGUCUCUU